Cottoperca gobio is the source of this 1209-nucleotide long non-coding RNA. RefSeq lists it as uncharacterized. The record is from RefSeq and is a predicted model, not a curated record. The transcript is spliced from 3 exons. NCBI's taxonomy places the organism in Eukaryota, Metazoa, Chordata, Actinopteri, Perciformes, Bovichtidae.
UUAAAGCGUGUGUACCUUGUUUCUGCCGCUCUCACAGGACUGCAGGCUGGCCAGGAUCUGGCUCUCUAUAGCCGACACCCACGAGUCCCGGUCCUCCAGGCUCGGAGCCUCAAAGUGCCACGUCUGCCCGGUGAACGACACGACGAUAAAGUCUGCAUUCUCUUCCUCUGCGAGUAAAAGGGGAGCAGAACAAACUCAAAAGGACGUAGAGAAAAACAAAUGCGAAACGACACAAAAGAGCAGUUUGAUGGAAGUGAGGAGGAGCAGCGCUGAAGUCCUCUGUCUCCACCUUGAGACGACAGACCACCAGAACGAUCAUCAACCACAGACAGAGUGGCUGGACACAGCUGAGGAACUGGCCGUGAGACAGGAAGUGAACGUUUGUAAUGCAGUGUGUCAUAGCAUGAAAUCCUCUUUAGAGUUUUGACGCAGUGGCAUGCAGACCGGAAGAUUAUAUUUUCACAGGCAGUGAGCAGGAAGAAAAAAAGAGAAUUACAUUUUCUUUUAAAUAUAUUUUGAGGUUAUGGCUAUUGCUGGUGCAGGAUCAGCAAAGAGAGAAAGAAAGAAAUUGACUGAAGAACAAAACUAGCCUUUAAAGGACAAUGAGUGCCUUUUUAAACCUGCAUUCUUCAAAUAGCCAGCAGGGGGCGACUCCUGAUUUGAAAAGGAAGUCAGGUUUUAUAGAAGUCUAUGAGAAAAUGACACAACUUCUCGAUUUUAAUGCCUCAGUUUUAUAUCUCAAACACUGGUUUCAAGUCUUCUUCAAUACAGAAUGAUGUUUGUUUGAUAAAUUAUGGAACUUAGAGUAAAAUAGAAGAUAAAGCAGUGCAUGCUUUUUGUGAUUGUCACAUUUUAAAACCCUAUUCCACAAACCAGCGGGUGGCGUCACUUAUCUAUCAGUCUAUGGAUGAAGCACGGGUGAAAACACAAAUCCGAAAUUGGCCCUCUUCUUCGUAGAUUGGUAUGAAAUAUAACUAUUUAAUUUAUGAAUAGAGUUUUACAUCAACACACUGUAUGAAUUUAUGUAAGAGGUUAUGUUCUGUGUGACUAACGUCAGCUGCAUUUGUCGAACAAAGCACGCACCACAAAACUUUAUGCGAAUACAGUUUGAAUCACUAUGCAUCCUGCAAACUGCUUGGCUUUAAAAUGAAAAAUAGUAUUAAAUAGAAGUUGUGUCUUUCUUUCACUUGCUUCUAAAAUAAAUGCACG